RNAcentral lists this long non-coding RNA (202 nucleotides) under Manihot esculenta (cassava). RNAcentral describes it as "long non-coding RNA (MESC_LNC011042)". The record is from RNAcentral. Lineage: Eukaryota; Viridiplantae; Streptophyta; Magnoliopsida; Malpighiales; Euphorbiaceae.
UUUCAUUCAAAACUCAAUUUCUUUCUUGCUUAAAAUCAUAAAAUACAUUAAAACAUUUUAUAAAAACAUGAUUUUACCCUUCUAGAGGUUUUCGACAUCCGAGAUUCCACCGGACGGUAGGAAUUUCGAUACCGGAGUCUAGCCGGGUAUUACAUUCUUCCCCCCUUAAGAACAUUCGUCCCCGAAUGUUCACCAAACAAAC